RNAcentral lists this ribosomal RNA (301 nucleotides) under uncultured bacterium. RNAcentral's name for it is "partial 16S ribosomal RNA". It matches the Rfam family "Bacterial small subunit ribosomal RNA", at positions 509 to 807 of the family's 1533-position model. The record is from RNAcentral.
CAGUAGCCGCGGUAAUACGGAGGGUGCAAGCGUUAAUCGGAAUUACUGGGCGUAAAGCGUGCGUAGGCGGUUCGUUAAGUCUGUUGUGAAAUCCCCGGGCUUAACCUGGGAAUGGCAAUGGAUACUGGCAAGCUAGAGUGUGUCAGAGGAUGGUGGAAUUCCCGGUGUAGCGGUGAAAUGCGUAGAGAUCGGGAGGAACAUCAGUGGCGAAGGCGGCCAUCUGGGACAACACUGACGCUGAGGCACGAAAGCGUGGGGAGCAAACAGGAUUAGAUACCCCAGUAGUCCCUGUCUCUUAUAC